CCCGGCUCAGCUCAGCCCAGCCCAGUUCAGCUCAGUUCUGUUCAGCUCAGCCCGGCUCAGCUCAGCCCAGCCCAACUCAGCUCAGUUCAGCUCAGUUCGGCUCAGCCCAGCCCAGCUCAACCCAGCUCAGCCCAGUUCAGCUCAGCUCAGCUCGGCUUAGCCCAGCUCGGCUCAGCGCAGCCCGGCUCAGCUCAGCCCGGCUCAGCGCAGCCCGGCUCAGCUCAGCCCGGCUCAGUUCAGCUCAGCUCAGCCCGGCUCAGCCCAGCCCGCUCCGUUUACCUCAGCGGAGUCCGCUUGUCCCCAGGCAGGCGGUGCCGAUGCCCAAGGAACAGGAUUUUUAUCCCGCAGCUGUGGCGGUUCCUGGUGGUUGUCCCCAGCCUGAGGCAGCCCCUCCUCGCCCUCACACGCCCAGCAGGCUCAGGGAGCCCCGGAGGGCUCGGCUGCUGUUCCGUGGGCGCCAGGUUGGACAGGAGCUGGAAAGAAGUAAAAGCCCCAGACGCGGUGUUUCAUCUUUUUAUUAUUUUAUUAAUUUUUGUUGGAGGUGCACCAAAACGGCCACAUCAUGGGGCUGAAUUUCACUGACUCACAGAAUCUUUAGGGUUGGAAGGGACCUCUGGAGAAAUUCCAGUCCAACCUCCCUGGCAAGACAGGGUCACCUGGAGCACAGGAAUGCGUCCAGACUAAACAGGCCCAGCUCCUGCAGUCCCUCCUCAUAAGAGAGAUGCUCCAGACCCUUCAUCAUCUUCGUGGCCUCGGCUGGACCCUCUCCAGUAGCUUCUUGACUGUCUUGUACUGAGGAGCCCAGAACUGGACACAGCACUCCAGGUGUGGCCUCACUAGGGCUGAGUAGAGAGGGAGGAUCACCUCCCUCAGCCUGCUGGCCACACUCUUCCAGAUGCACCCCGAGAUGCUAUUUAGCAAUGAAGAGAUACCUAACCUGGGACUCGGGCUCCGGGCUGUCCAGCACGGCCCCUGCUGUUUGCCCCAGCUGUUUCCUGCUAUGGGUCCCACUCCAACAGCAGUCCAGAAGAGCAAAGGGUGAUUCAGACAAGGGUGCUCUUCUUGCCCUAGGUUUCUCAAGGACUGAUUACAGUUGGAUUAAAUUGAACUCAAAAUGGUCUGAUUUCUCUUCUGGGCAUCCAUGUGAAUCACAGACACGGUCUACAUAGAACCAAAGCAGGCACUGACACUCCUGAGUGCUGCUGGGAGCUCAGUGUCUGCAGUGCCAGCGACCACACUAAUAAUUCAUGGCACGCAUUUCCUGAGUGGUGGAAGAUGUGUUCCUGUUCUGAUCCUUCCUGUGCUGUAAUUUAAGUGGUAAAAUGAAGCUGACAAGAAUCCAGCACUUAGACUUGGAGGGUUUGGGCCACUUUGUGCUCUGCUUUAAAGUAACAGAAGAAAGGAGGUGGAACAGCAGGCACAGCAUGCACUCAGAACCUCAGACAUCGGUUUUGAUUAACCCAAAAUGUUUUGCCAUGGAUUACUUCAUCCCUUGAAGGUGCAUGAGGACUCAAAUUAUUUAUAUUUUAAAAGUCAUAUAUGAGAAGCUGCAAACAUGGCACAGAUCAAAACUACAAAGUACAAAAAGGGCAAAAAGCCUAUUUUUAAUGGGUCAAGAAACCUAGAGGGGGCAAGGAAAGAGAAGAACCUUUGUUUCUGUUGCUGGAGAAGGAUGCUAACAGGUCUUUUUAUCCCUCUUAAAGAUUCAAAUUAUAAAUACCAUCUGUAGGUCACUGAAGAAUGUUUGGGAAUCUGGCAUAGCAAGCACUAAGGGUAAAAUCCAAGCAUCCACAGAGAGUUCUUUGGGAACACUACUUGAAUCUGUUUAAUGGUAUCAUGGUUGUACUUAAAUGAAACAAACAAAAAAAAAGGAAAAAAAAAAAAGAGAAGAUUACCAUACCAAAGAAUUAAACUCCUUCUGAUUUUUUUAUAGAGAAUGAAGAACACUCCUACAUAGUUUCUCUGGUCCUUUGAUACUAAUUCUUUAAUGACAGAAGUGAUUUUUAAAGAUUUCUAUCUCUGCUGCUUGCUCCAGCCCACACUCACAAGGUUACCACCCCAUACGAGAAUCAGUAUCAAAGACCACUGCUCUCUUUUCACCUGAUUCAAUGUAGAUAUGUCCGUACAAAUUUUUUAACCAUUUAACUAAAUCUUUAAGAAACUAUUUUUAACUGUGAUUUAGCUUGUGUAUAGAGGAGCAAAGCCCAGCACUAAAAGAAUCCUGAAUUCUCUGACAUAAUUUGUCUGGGCUCUCUUCCUCUGCUGCAGGGCAUUAUAUCCAAAUACUUACUAUUGCCAUCAUUAUGGUAGCUCAUUAUGAAACAACAUUGGAUAAUGGACUCUGCUCCUUCCUUUCUUCAGCCUUGGCUGUCUUCAUAAGAUUUUUUUAUUAAUCACCUAAUAGUCACCCACAAAGUGAAAACUAUUGUAAAGGAACAGGUGUACUUCAUUUUGAUGAUGGAAUCCUUUAUAGCUAGUGCUGAGGUAUGGAUUAUUUAUUGUCAUUCUCUUCUAUCAGUAAAUCAUAUGACCACAUUGAGUGCUUUUAAUUCUGCAGAAAUUCAUGAUAUUUUACAGUGUGAUAAGCUGUACAAUUAACAUUGCAUUCACCUUAGCAGUAUCAGAUGAUGAAUAAAAAAGCUUUAGAAGUA
This is a long non-coding RNA of Pseudopipra pipra, 2651 nucleotides long. RefSeq lists it as uncharacterized. The record is from RefSeq and is a predicted model, not a curated record. Lineage: Eukaryota; Metazoa; Chordata; Aves; Passeriformes; Pipridae. The transcript has 2 exons.